CCUUGGAAACCUUGAUCAGGACGUCCGUGCAGAAAAUCGUGAGACCGAUCGGCAGGGCUACCGCAAUCAUGUUCUUUCCAAGCCCCCGUGCGGCAAACCUCCACCCCAGCUCCCUCCACAAGGACACGCUGGUUUCGACG
This 140-nucleotide non-coding RNA is filed under the name Pseudo-nitzschia fraudulenta. Lineage: Eukaryota; Bacillariophyta; Bacillariophyceae; Bacillariales; Bacillariaceae. The record is from RNAcentral.